This 256-nucleotide long non-coding RNA is filed under the name Ananas comosus (pineapple). RNAcentral's name for it is "long non-coding RNA (ACOM_LNC036933)". Lineage: Eukaryota; Viridiplantae; Streptophyta; Magnoliopsida; Poales; Bromeliaceae. The record is from RNAcentral.
ACGAUUCUUAGAAAAUAGAAACUAAUGAGAGGAAAGUCGAAGUAGCGACGUUACAAAGAAGGAAUUAUGAGAUGGGAAGUCGAAGAGACAUACGUUAUGAAAAGAAUUAAUAAGACGGGAAGCCGAAGAGAUAGACGUUACAGGGAAGGAAAGCUGAAGAGACCGCUUAGCCAUUUGGUUCAAAAGAGGAGCAAGUGAGGGUGAAAGAUAGGCUGCCACGUGGUAAGUUUAGGGGAAAUAAUGUUAAGGUAUAGAU